Molecule: ribosomal RNA, 221 nt
Filed under: uncultured bacterium
Lineage: Bacteria
Description: partial 16S ribosomal RNA
Rfam family: Bacterial small subunit ribosomal RNA
Source: RNAcentral
CCGGGGGGAACGAAACCAAUUCCCGAAAGGGGUGCUAAUACCGGAUGUGACGCUCCUAUCGCAUGACGGGAGCGUGAAAGAUGGCCUCUACAUGUAAGCUAUCGCUAAAGGAUGGGCCUGCGUCUGAUUAGCUAGUUGGUAGUGUAACGGACAACCAAGGCGAUGAUCAGUAGCCGGUCUGAGAGGAUGAACGGCCACAUUGGGACUGAGACACGGCCCAG